This 1985-nucleotide ribosomal RNA is filed under the name human gut metagenome. RNAcentral describes it as "bacterial LSU rRNA". It matches the Rfam family "Bacterial large subunit ribosomal RNA", at positions 3 to 1984 of the family's 2925-position model. The record is from RNAcentral.
UUAAGUUAUUAAGGGCGCACGGCGAAUGCCUUGGCACUAGGAGCCGAAGAAGGACGGCACUAACACCGAUAUGCUUCGGGGAGCUGUAAGUGAGCUUUGAUCCGGAGAUUUCCGAAUGGGGGAACCCACUACGUUUAAUCGCGUAGUAUCUUGACGUGAAUACAUAGCGUCUUGAAGGCAGACCCAGGGAACUGAAACAUCUAAGUACCUGGAGGAAGAGAAAGAAAAAUCGAUUCCCUGAGUAGCGGCGAGCGAAACGGGAAGAGCCCAAACCAAGAGGCUUGCCUCUUGGGGUUGUAGGACACUCUAUACGGAGUUACAAAGGAAUGAGUUAGAUGAAGCGACUUGGAAAGGUCCGCCAGAGCAGGUAAAAGCCCUGUAGUCGAAAGUUCGUUCCCUCCAGAGUGGAUCCUGAGUACGGCGGAACACGUGAAAUUCCGUCGGAAUCCGGGAGGACCAUCUCCCAAGGCUAAAUACUACCUAGUGACCGAUAGUGAACCAGUACCGUGAGGGAAAGGUGAAAAGCACCCCGGAAGGGGAGUGAAAGAGAUCCUGAAACCGUGUGCCUACAAGUAGUUAGAGCCCGUUAAUGGGUGAUAGCGUGCCUUUUGUAGAAUGAACCGGCGAGUUACGAUUACGUGCGAGGUUAAGCUUUAGAAGGCGGAGCCGCAGCGAAAGCGAGUCUGAAUAGGGCGAAUUAGUACGUGGUCGUAGACCCGAAACCAGGUGAUCUACCCAUGUCCAGGGUGAAGGUGAGGUAACACUUACUGGAGGCCCGAACCCACGCACGUUGAAAAGUGCGGGGAUGAGGUGUGGGUAGCGGAGAAAUUCCAAUCGAACUUGGAGAUAGCUGGUUCUCUCCGAAAUAGCUUUAGGGCUAGCCUCGUGAUGAGAAUACUGGAGGUAGAGCACUGUUUGGACUAGGGGGCCAUCCCGGUUUACCGAAUUCAGACAAACUCCGAAUGCCAGAUAUUUAUACACGGGAGUCAGACUGCGAGUGAUAAGAUCCGUAGUCAAAAGGGAAACAGCCCAGACCACCAGCUAAGGUCCCAAAGUAAUCGUUAAGUGGAAAAGGAUGUGGCGUUGCACAGACAACCAGGAUGUUGGCUUAGAAGCAGCCAUCAUUUAAAGAGUGCGUAAUAGCUCACUGGUCGAGUGACGCUGCGCCGAAAAUGUAUCGGGGCUAAACGAUUCACCGAAGCUGUGGAUUGACAUCUACGAUGUCAGUGGUAGGAGAGCGUUCUAAGUGCGUUGAAGUCAGACCGGAAGGACUGGUGGAGCGCUUAGAAGUGAGAAUGCCGGUAUGAGUAGCGAAAGACGGGUGAGAAUCCCGUCCACCGUAUGACUAAGGUUUCCUGAGGAAGGCUCGUCCGCUCAGGGUUAGUCGGGACCUAAGCCGAGGCCGAUAGGCGUAGGCGAUGGACAACAGGUUGAUAUUCCUGUACCACCUCCUCACCGUUUGAGAAAUGGGGGGACGCAGUAGGAUAGGGUAAGCGCGCCGUUGGUUGUGCGCGUCCAAGCAGUAAGGCGUGUGUGUAGGCAAAUCCGCACACUGUAACGUUGAGCUGUGAUGGCGAGUCCGUAUGGACGAAGUUCCUGAUUUCACACUGCCAAGAAAAGCCUCUAUCGAGGUGAGAGGUGCCCGUACCGCAAACCGACACAGGUAGUCGAGGAGAGAAUCCUAAGGUGUGCGAGAGAACUCUCGUUAAGGAACUCGGCAAAAUGACCCCGUAACUUCGGGAGAAGGGGUGCUCUUGAGCGUGCAAGCGCAUGAGAGCCGCAGUGAAUAGGCCCAGGCGACUGUUUAGCAAAAACACAGGUCUCUGCAAAACCGUAAGGUGACGUAUAGGGGCUGACGCCUGCCCGGUGCUGGAAGGUUAAGAGGAGUGGUUAGCGCAAGCGAAGCUGCGAAUUGAAGCCCCAGUAAACGGCGGCCGUAACUAUAACGGUCCUAAGGUAGCGAAAUUCCUUGUCGGGUAAGUUCC